RNAcentral lists this long non-coding RNA (1207 nucleotides) under Marmota monax (woodchuck). The record is from RNAcentral. Lineage: Eukaryota; Metazoa; Chordata; Mammalia; Rodentia; Sciuridae.
UUUUUUUUUAGAUUUUUUAGUUGUCAUAUUUAUUUAUAUGUGGUGCUGAGAAUUGAACCCAGUGCCUCACACAUGCUAGGCAAGCUCUCAACCACUGACCCCAGCCCUGUAGUUUAGAUUUAAGGAUAAAUAAUUUAAAGAAGAAAGCGCUUAUAUUUUGGAGUCAGACACAUUUGAAUUCAUAUGCUAGAACUCUCCCACAGCUGUGUGAUCUUUGGAAAGAAAAGUGGCAUUUCCUCACAGGGUUGGUAAGAAUAUUGAAUGGGAAUAUUCAAUAUUGGAUAAUUGAGAAUAUUUAAUAUUAUGUGUAAGAAUAUUGAUGGACACAUUGCCUUGUAUGGUAUGUGGCAUUCAACAAGCACUACAGAUAGCUUAGGUGUUUUCUUCUUCUUCUUCCCAUUUUAUUAUAGCAAUUCCUAGCUAAAAAGAAGAUAAAUACUGAAAACACAUGUAAAGUAGGCAAACAUUUCAAAGGUUGCUUAUAUUUGAAGGACAGAAUGUGAAAGAACAUAAAGUGAUUUGCAAAGGAUUAUGCUUUAGUCGGCUUCAGCUGCCAGAAUAAAAUGCCAAAAGACUGGGUGGCUUAAAUAGCAGAGAUUUAUUUUCUCACAGUUUUGGAGGUUAGAAGUCCCAAAUGAAGGUGCCAGCCCAUCUACUUCCUGGUAAGGGCUCUCUUCUCCUUGUGUCCUCACAUGGCAGAAGGAGAGAGUGAGAGAGCAAGAGAGCACUCCCGAAGCAAUUUCUUUUUAUAAGAACACUAAUCCAAUUAUCAGGGCUCCACCCUUAUGACCUCAUUUGACUUUAGUCCUCCUGGUAAAGGACCUAAAUGCACAUUGGGACUUGGGGUUUCAACAUAUGAAUUGAGGCGUACAGGACACAAACAUCCAGUCCAUAGGUCAUAUUUACACUUGGCAUUUCAUUUCAGCUUUUAUUUUGGGAAUUUAAAAUUGCAUUAAGAUUUAUAAAAAAUGCUUCUUUCCUUAUCCUGCCUUUCUGGAUUCAGCCAGGGAAGGAGGCCAGAAGGCUGCAGCAGCAUCCUACAAUUUGUUGACAUUUUCCCACAGCACUGGAGGUGUGUAGUCUUCUCUGGGCAGGUCAAAGUUUCCAGGGUUCACUGCAAUUGGAAUGGGGCUUCAAAACUGCCCUCUUGGGCGAUGGGGGAGAAAUUAAGAGAAGGAAGGAGUGAGAGAGACAACAGAUCUCAAAA